Drosophila melanogaster (fruit fly) is the source of this 1187-nucleotide non-coding RNA. NCBI's taxonomy places the organism in Eukaryota, Metazoa, Arthropoda, Insecta, Diptera, Drosophilidae. The record is from Ensembl.
AAUUCAAACUGUAUAAUUCGAAUUUGUCUUAGAAUUUCGAUUUCAAUCAGCAGUAUUGGGUAUUAUUCGAGAUGAUUCGGCUGAAAAUGGAACUGAAGGGAAGUAAUCAAUCGACUAAUAACGCCCCUGGCUAACAUUUGCUAUCCAUUUGCAAAUCGCCCCACCUGACGGACUGGCCAAGUUGCGCAGCAUGUCCUUUUGCAAUAUCAACGUUAGUGGCAAACAACAAAAUUAGUCAGCAAAACAUGGCCGCCCUGCAAUUAGCAUCAUGAGCACCAUGCAAUUUUGAUGACCAAAUUGCCAUAAACCGGUCACUGACACAUACUCCGCAGUCUGGUCUCCGAAAGUCCGGAGGACACUGUACUCAACGGGGCGAUAAUCAUGGAACACUGCACCGCACGCUGAUGCCAAUCAAAAUUCAAAAUUUCGACAGUCCGUAUAUGGCCGUAUGCGGCGACCACGCCCCCCUUCUGUCUACCCAAACAAAGGGGGCGGGCGCAGCAGAGCGUGGCUACGUCGAUAAGUCACGGACAAAAUGGUCAAAUGUCAGAGGAGCAACGCGGUUGAGAUCAUCGGACCGACCACUGGGGCGGUCUCUACACUGGUAAAAAAUGCAUCGUCGAAUUUCAGGUCACUCGUAGUAUUAAGCAGAUAACACAUGCAAAUAGGCGUCCGGGAAUAUUCAGAAGUCUGUGCGCGUGGUUAAAGUGCAGUUUCGGUGACUUGAAAGCGCGUAAGAGUCCGCACACAUCCGACGGUGGUGGGUGUUUUUGGGUUGCGAACUGAAGGUGGAGAUGGUGCAUAAAACUCCAUUAGAGCCAUAAAAGUUAAAAGCAUUUCGCCUGGCAACUGGCAACUGCCAACUGCAGAUUCCCGACUCGACGCUUCGGGCCCCAGACUCUAGGAUUCAGACUCCAGCAUCCAGCAUCCAGUAUCCAGAAUCCAGACUGUCGACUGCCAAGAGCCGGGAGCGUUCGUUCGAUUGUUGCUGCUCAGUGAUUGGAAAUGGAGGAGGACUGGGGCAGGACAGGGUCUGUUCGGAUGGCAUUCGACGGGUAAUGGCAAACGCAAACGAAAUACAAUAAAAAUAAAACGAGUAAGCGAAAAGAAAACGUUUGCCGGCUGGAGUGGGUUCUGUGAGUAGGAAGACGACGCAUUAACCAAACACCGUGAGUGCCAGAGGCAAC